This 497-nucleotide ribosomal RNA is filed under the name uncultured bacterium. RNAcentral describes it as "bacterial SSU rRNA". It matches the Rfam family "Bacterial small subunit ribosomal RNA", at positions 29 to 518 of the family's 1533-position model. The record is from RNAcentral.
AUUGAACGCUGGCGGCGUGCUUAACACAUGCAAGUCGAUCGGUAACAGGUGUAGCAAUACAUGCUGACGAGAGGCGGACGGGUGAGUAAUGCUUGGGAAUCUGCCUAUUAGUGGGGGACAACCCGGGGAAACUCGGGCUAAUACCGCAUACGCUCUACGGAGGAAAGCCGGGGACCGCAAGGCCUGGCGCUAAUAGAUGAGCCCAAGUCGGAUUAGCUAGUUGGUAGGGAACGGCCUACCAAGGCGACAAUCCGUAGCUGGUCUGAGAGGACGACCAGCCACACCGGAACUGAGACACGGUCCGGACUCCUACGGGAGGCAGCAGUGGGGAAUAUUGGACAAUGGGGGCAACCCUGAUCCAGCGACGCCGCGUGGGUGAAGAAGGCCUGCGGGUUGUAAAGCCCUUUCGGGUGGGGAAGAAAAGUCUCGACCUAAUACGUCGGGACCUUGACGUAACCCACUAAAGAAGCACCGGCUAACUCUGUGCCAGCCGCCGC